AUAGCAUUGGAAAUGUAGUUGAGAAAA
Molecule: unclassified non-coding RNA, 27 nt
Filed under: Mus musculus (house mouse)
Lineage: Eukaryota; Metazoa; Chordata; Mammalia; Rodentia; Muridae
Description: oocyte_clustered_small_RNA13006
Source: RNAcentral